GCUGCGGAUGGCCAUGCGGCGCAUUAGCUAGUCGGCGGGGUAACGGCCCACCGAGGCGACGAUGCGUAGGGGUUCUGAGAGGAAGGUCCCCCACACUGGUACUGAGACACGGACCAGACUCCUACGGGAGGCAGCAGUGAGGAAUAUUGGUCAAUGGCCGGGAGGCUGAACCAGCCAAGUCGCGUGAGGGAAGACGGCCCUACGGGUUGUAAACCUCUUUUGUCAGGGAGCAAGGUGCAGGUCGGGACCUGCUGUGAGAGUACCUGAAGAAAAAGCAUCGGCUAACUCCGUGCCAGCAGCCGCGGUAAUACGGAGGAUGCGAGCGUUAUCCGGAUUUAUUGGGUUUAAAGGGUGCGCAGGCGGAGGCACAAGUCAGCGGUAAAAUCGCGGGGCUCAACCCCGCUCCGCCGUUGAAACUGUGUCCCUUGAGUGCGCGAAGGGUAGGCGGAAUGCGUGGUGUAGCGGUGAAAUGCAUAGAUAUCACGCAGAACUCCGAUCGCGAAGGCAGCCUACCGGCGCGCAACUGACGCUCAUGCACGAAAGCGUGGGUAUCGAACAGGAUUAGAUACCCUGGUAGUCCACGCAGUAAACGAUGAAUGCUAUCUGUCCGGCCGGAAUGACGGCUGG
This 627-nucleotide ribosomal RNA is filed under the name uncultured bacterium. Its description in RNAcentral is "bacterial SSU rRNA". It matches the Rfam family "Bacterial small subunit ribosomal RNA", at positions 218 to 842 of the family's 1533-position model. The record is from RNAcentral.